This 911-nucleotide long non-coding RNA is filed under the name Mus musculus (house mouse). RNAcentral describes it as "predicted gene, 31369 (Gm31369)". Lineage: Eukaryota; Metazoa; Chordata; Mammalia; Rodentia; Muridae. The record is from RNAcentral.
AUUUUAAUUGGGGCCUGUGUGCAGGGCUCACCCUAGCUUCGGAGAACGAAGGCUUUCUCUGAUGGGUCUCUGCUCCUGAGCGUGUCACAAGCUCUUGAAAAACCACACGGAACAACCCAGAAAUAGCCAACAGACCAAAGGGAAAACGGUUUGGAGCCAGUUCCACAAAGCGACGGAACACCUCCUGAGACUGUGUGCUGGAGAGAAAGGGUCCCACUCUUCUAUCCCUACAAGGACAAGAGGACUCUCUGGGUCUCCUUUGUAAAACUACUCACCCAUGAAGACCUAACAACCUCCUGUUAUGGUUUGAAUGAGUAGGAUCCUACCCACUCGCCCUUUGCCCAUGUGUCACAGGCUUGGUCACCAGGAUGGUGCUGACUGGACAGUGGAGAGCCUUUAGGAGAUGGAGCCUUCGCAAGGGAUUAUGGGAAUUUACUCUCCACACUCUGCUACAUCCUGGCUCCCAUGAAGCUCCUCUGGACGGCAGCAUCACCCCAUGACACGUUACAAGUUCCACAAUUACAGCUGAUUUCAUAUUACAUUUCACGGUGACUGCUUGCUGACGACCUAGAGACGUUCUUCAUUCCUGCACGCCGGCUGCCUCCCGACCACAGCGCAAAGUGACUCUUGUGCCCGUGUGCUGCUGGCCACCAGCUCAGCCAACAGGCCACAACAGCCAUGACCUUGUCCUGGGUGUCAGGGUGACUUGAGGACCACUCUCUACAAACAGUGGAGACUCCUACAGUGAAAGCCUCAAGUUGUAUCUGCUUCCAAGAGGGAGAUGGAGAGUCAGAGUCCCCCGAGGAUUUGAAUAACAGCAGAGAAAAAGCUGAGCUAGAUAGAGUGGCUUGGUGGCUGGAGAGAUGGCUCAGCGGUUAAGAGCACUGACUGCUCUUCCAGAGGUCCUGAGU